This 84-nucleotide transfer RNA is filed under the name Yimella lutea. RNAcentral describes it as "tRNA-Leu". It matches the Rfam family "tRNA". From Rfam's summary of the family: Transfer RNA (tRNA) molecules are approximately 80 nucleotides in length. Their secondary structure includes four short double-helical elements and three loops (D, anti-codon, and T loops). Lineage: Bacteria; Bacillati; Actinomycetota; Actinomycetes; Micrococcales; Dermacoccaceae. The record is from RNAcentral.
GCCCCGGUGGCGGAACUGGUAGACGCAGCCGAUUCAAACUCGGCUACCUGACCGGGUGUGCGAGUUCGACUCUCGCCUGGGGCA